Molecule: long non-coding RNA, 424 nt
Organism: Achroia grisella
Lineage: Eukaryota; Metazoa; Arthropoda; Insecta; Lepidoptera; Pyralidae
Exons: 3
Source: RefSeq, a predicted model, not a curated record
UUGAAACUUAGCCUUUCCAUAACUUUAUACGCAAGUUAAAUUUAAUAAUUCAAUUAUUGUGAAAAAUAUACCUAAUGUAACAUCACGGACUGAAACCUCUCGCCAACGUCGUGUAUCGUACCGGUAAUUUGAAAUUAUAUGGGAUUUUUAAAAUCCCAUAGGGAAAUGGCAAGUGGCUUUAAUAAGUCCGCCCAAGAAUACCAUACCAAUCGCUUGUGUGAGGACGUCGCUCAACAAUUAAACUCCUUAGGAAAAGGGGGUUUUAAAGACUGGAAAGGAUUGUCAAGUUUAAGUGUUAUAAGAUUAAUUACAUAGAUGAAGAUUAUUUGAAACAUAAGAGAAUAAUUAAUGGAUAAAUAUUAUUUGAAACAUAUGAGAUUAAUUACAUGGAUACAGAUUAUUUGAAACAUAUGUCUAAGUGUUA